Molecule: non-coding RNA, 254 nt
Filed under: Clostridioides difficile
Lineage: Bacteria; Bacillati; Bacillota; Clostridia; Peptostreptococcales; Peptostreptococcaceae
Also listed under: 1 other name
Rfam family: T-box leader (bases 1-225)
About the family: Uncharged tRNA acts as the effector for transcription antitermination of genes in the T-box leader family. T-boxes are found upstream of many aminoacyl-tRNA synthetase genes and some amino acid biosynthetic genes usually in Gram-positive bacteria.
Source: RNAcentral
AAGGAAUAGUAAAAUAUUUGAUGUCUUACAGAGAGAGGGAAAUGCUGGAAGCCCUUAGAAUAUGAUAUUUGAAGCAGCCUUUUAGUAGCAAUCUUGAACAAUUUAUCUUUUAUAAAGAAGAUUUAAGUAGAGAUUGACGGUAGUUACGUUAUAGCUAAGGUUUUCCGAAGAUAUCAUACUUUGUAUGAUAAUUAGGGUGGUACCGCGAUUGUCCUCGCCCCUAUAAAUUUAUUUAUAGGGACGAGGUUUUUUAU